GUUCAUAGUUAUUUAGGUGUAUGGUUUGAUGUUAUUCUAAACAAAAAAGUAGACCAAUCAAUCUUGAUCAAAUCUCUACUGCUUUUAACAUGUUUAAAUCAAUAUAGCACUAGUAAAUCAGAGAGUAGAGAUCCCAAGAAAUUUAUUAUUUUCAUAUACAUAACAAGAAUAACUGAUAUAACAAAGUAGAAAUUACAAUUACAUUAUAUUACAAGGUAUUUUAAAGCAAAUUACAUUAAAACAAGUUUCAUGUAGAUUACAAUAUUAUAUAAAACAUAUAUAAAUACUUAUGAUUGUAUUUUAUAACAUAUGUCAUACAAUAUUAAUAUGACUUGAGAAUCUCAAGUAAUGAUUCGGCAUAAAGACCAACAUAUAGACAUAUAGAGCAAAAACAUAGUAAAUUGCUAGCUAUGUACAGUAUGCAACUAUAAUUGUGUGAACCCCAGGGCCAAUAAUUCCUUCUGGUACAUGUGCAAACACUGAAACUUUUCAACAAAGAUACAAAGUGACAUAUGAUGCAUUAUUUUCAAUAAAUUAUGCUGUCACACAGCCAUCUUUCCCUGGAACCUGGGGCUUGCUGAGGUCUCAGCAUCAGUUCGAAAUGACAAGGCACCCUGGAGAUUAUCUGCGGGUUAUAUAUUUACAGUUACAUUCCUAACUCCCCUUUUUUCACCCCUCCUAACCUUCAGGACAGUAAGAAUCAUAUAGCACUGCCAGUCAGCCAAUCAAUUUUACUUUACCAAAACAGCUCCUUGAUAUUUCAAUUACAAUUGGGAUAUCUGCUGUCUUGUUUAAUUUUCACACUUUCCUCAUGAGUUUGAGCAUCAAAAGACUUCUCUAAAAUCAGGUCAACAACAUUAACAGUGUCUGUUAAUUUGUGCCAAAAAGCAACUAAGAUGCUAGUUGAAGAAAGUAGUGAUGAUUAUCUAGCUAGCUAGCUAGACUUAUAAACAAAAAAAAAAAUAAACAGAACUUUAUACUUUCAAUUUAUUUACAAUAUUUACAAAUUACAAAGAUAAAUUAAGACAUACUAGUGUGUAAAAAUGUUUUGGGUGACCUGCCAGUUAUGGCAAAUCUCUGUCUAUUUGGGACAGCAAAUUGGGAGCUUGGGAAGGAUGCUGCAAGGGUGUUCUGUCCACCAGCAAAAUCAGUAGUGGGAACCAAGGUAUUGAUGCCCAUACGAAGGCCAUAAACUGGACUUUGUGGCCUAGUUGUUAAAUUAUGUGUAAUGUGGGCAGAAUCAGUGGAAGAGGAGGAAAAGUGCAUAAUAGAUUGGAAGAGUCAGUCCUAGAGGAGGUAAAGUGUAUAGUAGAUGGUGAGGCCAGUCAUCCUGUAUCAGCAGUCUGUUUGACAGUGAGAACAACAGUCACAAAUGUGUUGACUUGGCAUUGGCGAAGAGGUCCACCUGUGCCUUGCCUAACCUUUCCUAUAUCCCAUAACAUUUAAGAGUGGCUGCCACAGCUAGUUUAGAACCUGUCAGCACCACCUAGCAGGAACUGACCCAGAACCACUCCCGAAUUCAUACCACUGCUAUGUGGAUGACACUCAACUCAUCUUCUCUUCCCUCUCGAAGACACUCUUGUUUCUAUUCAGAUCUCAGCAUGUCUGGCAGACAUCACAUCUGGGUGGCAGCUCAUCAGCUGAAACCUAAUCCCAGAAAAACAGAACUGCUGUUCAUCCCAGGUCAUUCAUUCCUACUUCAGGAUCUUGUGAUCUCCCUGGACAACUCUCAGAUCUCACCUUCUGUCACUGCAUGCAAACUUAGGGUAACCAUGGACAAUCAACUGUCCUUUUCCUCUCACAUUGCUAAUCUGAUACUCUCAUGCCAAUUUAUCCUUGACAACAUCAGAAGAAUUCGUAUAUACAGAGCUUCACUCCUGAUAGAUCUGCCUCUGAGCAUCAUCCAACCUCUGCAACUAAUCCAGAAUGCAUUUCAUUAACUUCAACCUUCCUAAGUUCUUCCACACCACCCCAUUGCUACGCUCCCUCCACUGGCUUCCUGUAGCUGUCCACAUCAGAUUUAAAACACUGAUGCGUGCCUACAAAGCCAAAUGGAAAAACUUGUUUAAAGAACUUAUGCAUCUGCACUGCAUCAAGCUCCCUUCAAUGCUCAGGAUGUAUUUAUUGAUAGAGACUUCAAACCACUUCUAUAAGUCACUCUGGAUAAAGGUGUCUGACAAAUGCUAUAAAUGUAAAUUUAAUAUUUGUAAGGCAGUGCCCUCAUGCCAGCUGGCCAUCAUGGAGACAAGGUCACUUGCAAACAUAUCUAAAAUACAUCACAUGAGCUAGAAUGCAAGCCAGAGGGUUGGUACACAGAUGAGCUGUCUGUCCAAAUCUCCCUUUAAAACUAUUGUGAAUAAUGGUGUGACUACUAUUGUGCAAAGCAGCACAUUUGGUGCUGUAGGAGCUACCAUUUUAAGAGUGGCUGCCAUGGAUAGUUUGUCAGUGGAUAGCCUGACAGUGACAACUGUGAACUAACAGAGUUAGUUAUCCAGGCCACGCCACAGAGUUGUAGGAGAAAAGGUACUAUGGAUGCAUAAAAAGUAUGCUCAUUGAGAAAGAAAAGAUAAAAUGAGACAAUUUGAGUCGAUCCCCAGCUUUGAUUAUGACAUGGAUAUUUCUAUAUGGUGUAUAAGUGUUUGGAAGAAAGGAUGGCUAUAUGAUAGCAGUAUUUGUGCCAAUACUGCCUCCAUUGUGACUUGAAAGUCUCUCAAAACAUUCACCUACACACACACACACAACAAGGUAUCUAGGUGACUCAUACCAUCCUUGGCAGUCAAAAAAAAUGUAUGUACUGUAUAUGAGAGAGAGAGAGAGAGAGAGAGAGAGAGAGAGUGAGAGAGAUGAUCUGGAUGAAACAUGACUUUUUUUUUUUUACGUUGAAUUAUGUGCAAUACAUUAAGACAGACUAUUCCUAAGGAUUUGUUUUGCAUUAUUGAGACCAUUGUGCUGACAAAUGACCAGUGUCAUUUUGGUCCAAAUUUAUUGGAUCACGUGAAUGUUGUAAUUCAUUAAAACACCCAAAGAAGCUCUUAUCUGUAGGGUAUGUGACAUAGUCCAUACUAAUACUCACAUGCUUUAAAGUAUUUUUUCUUUUAUUUCUAUCCAUACUUAAUCUUUAUCAUUAUUGAAAACAGAUCUUUUAAAAGAAACACCAUUCAAAGCCACAGAAAUUUUAAAAUACUGUUUUUGCAUUGUAGAACAGCUGUAUGUAAUUUGAAAAUGACAUGGUGUACAUGGUGUUCACAGUAUGUUGUACAAGUGGUAAUUUCUAGUGGCUAAUGGGUGACAAUAUGUUCAGAUACUGUUGACUGGUGAUGACCUUGUCACUUCAUCUGGGAUUUUUGGUCUGUAUUCCUGAUCACUUUGUGGUAGAGGAUUCUCACCUAGACGGUAGUAAAUCUGUCUUGAACCAGUCAGGCACCCUUGUGCUGAUACCCGCGUUCUUCCUUGGUAGGCUUUCCAUAGUCGGCCGUAAUAUAGAUCCUCUUUAAUCUUUGCAUAUAAUUUUGUGGGGUCAAAGCUAGAGGGAGAGGGGGUAUGAUGUACUUCAUGUGCCUCUUGAGCUGUGUACAUCUAAAGCAAUAUAGACAACAUGAGUUAUUUGCAUGUUGUUAUAAGGCCUAUGUGAAUGUUCUGUAUUGCAGUAGUCAGUAUUGAACUGAAGCUAAAUCAGAAUUAAUGCAGAUUUUCCACAAGCACACAAAUGCAUGUUCAUGGUAGGCUUACCAUUCCUUUGUAUUUUUAGACUACUUUUGGUAUAGAACAGGUUUUACACUGUUAUGUAGUGUCCCAGGUGAUUGACACUUGAUCUGAAAUUUUGAUUACGUCACAUAGUUCUGCUCUUUUUUUGUUUUGUUUUUUGUUAAUUUUAUCAAUUAUUUGUUAUCAAAAGCUUACCGAACAUGCUGCAUCAUAAGCUAAGCUUGUUGGAAUGAAGAAUAGAACUAUAUAAUUACAAUAUUUGCAUAUGGGCUUUUUCCAUUACUUAAUGGAAAAUGUUAGUGUUAUCUAUCUCUGUGUGAACCUGCUGAGCUAGGCAGUGGCCAAUAAAUUUCAACCACAGUGCCUGCGCAAGAGAAAAAGAAAACAGGAAAUACAGAUACCACUAGUUCUUUCAUCUAAGGUCAUUUAAGAAGUAAAACAUAACACAGGUAAUUAUUACUGAGUAAAGUUUUUGAAUAAAGUUAGAGUAAAAAGCAUGUGUCAAAUCUAGUAAGAUAGCACAGCUGGAAUGCAAUGUUUGUUGAUUUUAUCUUACCUCUGUAAAUGUUGAUGGGUCUGUAUGCACAUGCUGUAUCUCAAGCACUUGUCUUCUAGGAAAGUCUCCUACAGAAACACCUCUUGCACAUGUAGAUAGGAAUGGUCAGAAAUAAGAGAGAAAGAAUGCAUCCGAGUGUCAAAGCUCCAAAUUGCCCCAAAAAACUCUGCUUUCGUCCUGCUUCAUGUGGUUCAGCUGAAGAUAUGAGCACAUCUAGAAGGGUGUGGGUGUACACAUAAACACACAUGAACAUAGCAAGCUGUAAAUAUUUGUUCUGAACAGCAAUGUGAAGGCUGAGGAUUAUUUCAUAGACUAAUUAAGAUUAAUGUAAAAAUCAUUAUACUUUUUAUUACUGUAUCGCUGAUGUCCAUACAUUGCUUCAGAAUGCCUGAUGGAAAGGUAACGAAUUGACAGCAGAUUAGUCCACUCUCAUUUACUGCUUCUUUCUGCAAAGAAAGUUCUGAGGAUAUCAGCGGGGUUUGUUGCCCCGAAUCUUUACUUUGCCAACGUGCUCAGAGAAGAUGUGGAUGUCUUGACUAGGGUGGAAGAUUCCUAGUUUGGUGUAAUUAGAGCCUUGCACCAUCUCCCAGUUGACCUGUGUUAGACUCUCAUUCCCAGCUAGGACACAGGUCAAGAUUAUGUUAUCUCCCUCCUGACUGAGACUGAUAGAUAUCCUGCUGUUGGAGAUGCCUGUAGAGACAGAAAUGGCAAAUGGUGUACACUGCGUUUUUGCUAGAUCUGGACUAGAAAACAUUUUUCUCUUUUAUGGCAAUAUAUUCUCACCAUCCACUUUAAUGUACACCUGCUCAUUUAUGCAGUUAUCCAAAUACGCCAAUCAUGUGGCAAUAGCAUAAUGCAUAAAAUCAUGCAG
This is a long non-coding RNA of Ictalurus punctatus (channel catfish), 5132 nucleotides long. NCBI's taxonomy places the organism in Eukaryota, Metazoa, Chordata, Actinopteri, Siluriformes, Ictaluridae. The record is from Ensembl.